RNAcentral lists this ribosomal RNA (1200 nucleotides) under Triticum aestivum (bread wheat). RNAcentral describes it as "partial small subunit ribosomal RNA". The record is from RNAcentral. Lineage: Eukaryota; Viridiplantae; Streptophyta; Magnoliopsida; Poales; Poaceae.
AUGGACGUGCUGUCGUCUGCGAAGCGCGCCCUCCCGUGGGGCCGCACCUCGGCCGGCGGGGUCAUCGGCGGCCUCCGAGCUCUACUCGGGACGGACGGAGGCGGCGGCCGCUCUCUUCUCCCGUCCCGGUGGAAGUCGUCGCAGCCGCAGCUGGACCCCGUCGACAGGUCCGACGAGGAGGGCGGCGGCGACAUCGACUGGGACAACCUCGGCUUCGGGCUGACCCCGACCGACUACAUGUACGUCAUGCGGUGCACGCAGGAGGAGGGCGGCUUCUCCCGCGGCGAGCUCGCCCGCUACGGCAACAUCGAGCUCAGCCCCUCCUCCGGCGUCCUCAACUACGGGCAGGGGCUGUUCGAGGGGCUCAAGGCGUACCGGAGGGCGGACGGGCCCGGGUACACGCUGUUCCGGCCGGAGGAGAACGCGCGGCGGAUGCAGCACGGCGCCGGGCGCAUGUGCAUGCCUUCCCCGUCCGUCGAGCAGUUCGUGCACGCCGUCAAGCAGACCGUCCUCGCCAACAAGCGCUGGGUGCCACCGCAAGGAAAGGGAGCGCUGUACCUCAGGCCGCUGCUCAUCGGGAGCGGGGCGAUCCUCGGGCUGGCGCCGGCGCCCGAGUACACCUUCAUGAUCUACGCCGCGCCCGUGGGCACAUAUUUCAAGGAAGGCAUGGCGGCGAUAAACCUGCUGGUCGAGGAGGAGAUCCACCGCGCCAUGCCGGGCGGCACCGGCGGGGUCAAGACCAUCUCCAACUACGCGCCGGUGCUCAAGGCGCAGAUGGACGCGAGGAGCAAGGGGUUCGCGGACGUGCUGUACCUGGACUCGGUCCACAAGAGGUACGUGGAGGAGGCCUCCUCCUGCAACCUCUUCGUCGUGAAGGGCGGCGCCGUCGCGACGCCGGCGACGGCGGGGACCAUCCUGCCGGGGGUCACGCGCAGGAGCAUCAUCGAGCUCGCCCGAGACAGCGGCUACCAGGUGGAAGAGCGCCUCGUCUCCAUCGACGAUCUGAUCAGUGCAGACGAAGUGUUCUGCACGGGAACGGCCGUCGGCGUCACCCCGGUGUCCACCAUCACCUACCAAGGGACAAGGUACGAGUUCAGGACCGGAGAAGACACGCUGUCGAAGAAGCUGUACACGACUCUGACGUCGAUCCAGAUGGGCCUGGCGGAGGACAAGAAAGGAUGGACGGUUGCGGUUGAUUGA